CAGAUACAACGCUGAACUUGGUCUUCAAGCUUCCUAUUGCUUUCUAGUAAACGAUUGAGCUAAAGAGGGGAAAAAAGGACGAAAGUUUGGCAACGUACCAUGGGAGCUGCUGAGAUACCAUACUCACUUGGGAACCUGCAGAUGGGAUUCUGGAAAAGUGGCAGAAGCCCGAGAAGGGUAAGAAUUCUUACCAAAGUCAGCUCUCCUGGAUCUCAGUCUGGUGCAGUUGAGAGAGGAAGGUAAAAAUUUCACCUUGUCCCUUCUUUUCCAAAUUGAGAUUAGCAGGAGAAAAUAUUUGUGUCGGCUAGUUCCUUAGGUAUUGUGACUUUGGUAGAGACUCUUGUUAUGAGUAUUUUUGUCUUCUACCGGUCCUCUUUCCUCCCAGAGAUGGUCAUUGUUUUCUUUUCUGUCUUUUGUGUUGUCAUAAGGAGAACCAUAGGACUGAUGAGAUUUUCCUUUUGUUUUAUUCUGUCUUGAGAGCUUGGCUUUAUGACCAGUGAGAAUAUUCUCUCUGGUCUCUGCCAGCUGGAUGAUGCAUGUGUCUGCAUGCAUCUGGUGACCACCUGAAUAGGCUGGGGAUCCGAGACACUAACUGCUAAGCAGCAUUCUCUGAUGGGAGCGGCUCUCGUGGGUGUCUAUCAUAAGGGCCCCUUGUCAUCUCAACCUUCUUGUCUUAUUUAGGGCUGGAAAAGUCCUAUUCCAGUAGUGCUUACCCAGUGUCGCAGGUUUGUAACUGAAGGCAUAUCAACCUUCUUGUCUUAUUUAGGGCUGGAAAUGUCCUAUUCCAGUAGUGCUUACCCAGUGUCGCAGGUUUGUAACUGAAGGCAUAUGACAUUCUUAUGGGAAACUGGAGACACUUUUCACGACCCCAUGCUUACCACCUGUGACAAUGAAGGUCUUUGCUUUCUUAGGCUAACUCUGGGAGUGAGCUUUCUGAAUCUUGUGAGGGCUGCAUCUUUUGCACCCCUUUUCGGGGAUGCCUCUUGCAUCCAUGGUUAAGCCGUAAAAAGGCUUAUAGAGGGGCUUCCCUGGUGGCGCAGUGCUUGAGAGUCCGCCUGCCGAUGCAGGGGACACGGGUUCGUGCCCCGGUCCAGGAAGAUCCCACGUGCCGUGGAGCGGCUGGGCCCGUGAGCCAUGGCCGCUGAGCCUGUGCUCCGCAACGGGAGACGCCACGACAAUGAGAGGCCUGCGUACGGCCAAAAAAAAAAAAAAAAAAAAAGGCUUAUAGGUUUGAGUUGCUAUUGAGAUUAAUAUAAGAUCCUACUACUCAUCAAUGGCCAAAUGAUGGAUCUUUUGAAUUGGAAAAACUUCUGUAUUUAAACAUUUUUUAGAGAGCUCUCAGCCUAAACAACUGUCUUCUUGGGAUCUAUGGAAAGACCAACUUGAAAGGAGGACAUGAAGGAGUAUGGUGGCCAGCCUUGGGGACGUCCUUAGUAAGAUGAAAUUACAAAGCUCUUUUUACCUCCACUUUCAGAAGAUAUCUACCAAAUUUAGAGAAGAGUUAAAAAGAUUAGUGGCCCUUCAGUUCCCCACUCAUAGGGACCUUAAUUGGCUGCUAAGGGGUGUUCUUCACACCCAUGAUUAUACUGUAGUUAUCAGACAAGCCAGAUGGCCCCCUAGGGAAAACAGGCACACUCACACGGGCAGCAUGACCAGAAUUCCUCCCAAAUUAUCAGGAAAUGGAUCAGCUGAAGGCCAAUAUUCAGGGGCUGACAGAAGCAAUAGUAGGGGCUUUUUUCUCUAAGGUGAAUUGGUCCAAGGUUGAAUUGUGCACUCAGAAAAAGGAGAGCAUUCAAAGGCCUUUGUUGAACGCUUUAUACAGACUUUGUAAAGGCAUGCUGCAUUAAGCCGUGAAACUGCAGAACAUAGAAAUCAUUUGAUUUCCAUCUUAAUUGGAAAUCUCCCUGAUAUAAAGCAAAUUGAAGAAAAUGUAGUUGGAUGGGCAGGUCAGUCCCUUGAUGCCAUUCAGGCUGCAAUCCAAUUUUUUGAGGAAUUAAAAGCAACUGUCUUUGUCUUGCAAAUCUUCACAAAACCAGAAAUUCGGCUCUAGAAAGCAAUUCAAAGUUCACCUAUUCUAACCAUUCCAAAACCUGCCCUAUUUAAUCUCAAAAUACUUGUAGGUAUUAUAAAAGACCAGGUCACUGGAAACAGAACUGUUCUGUACUUAGAAAAGUAAGAAAAAAUUUAAAGGGUAAUUACUCUAAACCUCUGAUAAUAGGUAAAGUACCCCCAAAACUCUAGGACAAAAAACUUACUUUCUCUGUCCCUUUGAGAUGCAAAUUUUCUACCCCACCUUCUCUAGGACCUGAUAGCCAGCUCUUAGAAAUGCAAACUUUAGGAAAAGGAAGCUCAUCAGAAGUUAGUUAAAAAAAGGAGCUUUUUUGAAAUUGGACAAAUGAAAAAAGCAAAACAAAAAAACCGCACAAAUAUUAGUUUAAAAGAAAAAAAACAAAAGCUGUAGCACUCUGAGCAGGUAAGCGUAUUCAAACUGCCAGAAACACAGUUCAGCUCCAACUGUUCUUCUAUAAGCUAGUGAGUUUUGUGUCACUGUACCUAAUUCAUGGCUAAAAUUCUGGAACCAAAGCUAUAAGGUCUUUGGUUUGCAUCUGUAUGUUUACAUGUGUUUAUAUAUGUAUGUUAUAAAUGUGUGAUAUCUUUCUACCUCUGAAUGGUACUGCCAAGAUUAAUUCAUAAAAACUAUUCAACUGGCUUAAAGAAAAAUAAGUGCUUUUCAAAUGAAAUAUUCCUAAAACCCUCAGAAAUAUAGAAACUAACCCCCAAUUUUUUUCAAGUUCACAUGAUCUGGGAUAAUCUUUGGUAAAUAAAAGCUGGGUUAAAUCAAGGCAGUAUGGUACUGGCACAAAAACAGAAACAUGGAUCAAUGGAACAGGAUAGAAAGCCCAGAGAUAAAGGAGGCGAGAAUAAACAAUGGAGAAAAGACAGCCUCUACAAUAACUGGUGCUGGGAAAACUGGACAGGUACACGUUAAAGAAUGAAAUUAGAACACUCCCUAACACCAUACACAAAAAUAUAACACCAUACACAAAAAUAAACUCAAAAUGGAUGAAAGACCUAAAUGUAAGGCCAGACAUUAUCAAACUCUUAGAGGAAAACAUAGGCAGAACACUCUAUGACAUCAAUCACAGCAAGGUCCUUUUUGACCCACCUCCUAGAGAAACGCAAAUAAAAACAAAAAUCAACAAAUGGGACCAAAUGAAACUUAAAAGCUUUUGCACAGCAAAGGAAACCAUAAACAAGACGAAAUAUUUGCAAAUGAAUCAACGGACAAAGGAUUCAUCUCCAAAACAUACAAGCAGCUCAAUAUCAAAAAAAACAACUCAAUCCAAAAAUGGGCAGAAGACUUAGACAUUUCUCCAAAGAAGGUAUACAGAUUGCCAACAAACACAUGAAAGGAUGCGCAACAUCACUAAUCAUUAGAGAAAUGCAAAUCAAAACUACAAUGAGGUAUCACCUCAUGACGGUCAGAAUGGCCAUUAUCAAAAAAUCUACAAACAAUAAAUGCUGGAGCGGGUGUGGAGAAAAGGGAACACUCUUUCACUGCUGGUGGGAAUGUAAAUUGAAACAGCCACUGUGGAGAACAGUCUGGAGGUUCCUUAAAAAACUAAAACUAGAACUACCAUAUGACCCAGCAAUCCCACUACUGGGCAUAUACCCUGAGAAAACCAUAAUUCAAAAAGAGGGGGCUUCCUUGGUGGCACAGUGGUUGAGAUUCCGCCUGCCAAUGCACAGGAUACGGGUUUGUGCCCUGGUCUGGGAGGAGCCCACAUGCCGCGGAGCAGCUGGGCCCCUGAGCCACGGCCGCUGAGCCUGCGCUCCGCAACGGGAGAGGCCAGCGUACAGAAAAAAAAAAAAGGUUCUGAAGAACCUAGGGGCAGGACAGGAAUAAAGACGCAGACGUAGAGAAUGGACCUGAGGACACGGGGAGGGGGAAGGGUAAGCUGGGACAAAGAGAGAGUGGCAGGGACAUAUGUACACGAACAAAUGUAAAAUAGCUAGCUAGUGGGAAGCAGCCGCAUAGCACGGGGAGAUCAGCUCGGUGCUUUGGGUAAGCUGGGAUGAAGUGAGAGUGGCAUGGACAUACACACUACCAGAUGUAAAACAGAUAGCUAGUGGGAAGCAGCUGCAUAGCACAGGGAGAUCAGCUCGGUGCUUUGUGACCACCUAGAGGGGUGGGAUAGGGAGGGAGGAGAUAUGGGGAUAUAUGUAUAUGUAAAGCUGAUUCACUUUGUUAUACGGCAGAAACUAACACACCAUUGUAAACCAAUUAUACUCCAAUGAAGAUGUUAAAAAAAAUAAAUAAGAUACAAGGAUGUAAUGUAUAGCACAGAGAAUACAACCAUUAUUUUAUGAUAACUUUUAAAAAUGGAGUAUAAUCUAUAAAAAUAUCAAAUCACUAUGUUGAAUACCUGAAACUAAUAUAAUGUAAAAUCAAUUAUACUUCAACAGAAAACAAACAAACUGGGUUAAUUGGUUGGUUUAAUUAGGCAGGUCUUCAGAGUUAGCAACAUGAGAUAUAAUAGGGACAUGCAACCUUUAUUCUACCUGGGCUUACUAUUCAAAUACGUUCAUGUUAUCUCUGUUACAAAAUUUGUCAGGAAGAAUAACACCUUGGCAUGAUGGCUGAUUUUGUGUAAUGUCUCCUGGCGUUUGUGUGACGAGUCUAAACAAUUGUUGGGAGCGAGUGAUUUAGAUACAUGUCAGCGAGAUAAACGUUAGGUGAACUUAUCAGCAAUGAGUAUGUUUUAUGGUAUAUCUCUUACAGUUUUCCAAAUGUCUUUGGUAACUUGAAACUUUAGAGUUUUGCUAAGUUAAAUGAUAGGAAAUUCACUGAAUAUCUAGAUCAUUUCCAAAUAAGAUAAAAUACUGAAACAUUAAUUACUACACAUAGGUUUAUCUACUUCUGGCUUAUUACAGAAUGAAAGAUAUUUGGGGUAUAUUAUUGGGGUAUAUUAGUAAACAUAUCUUGUGCCACAAUGAAAAACUAUACUAUGAGGAAGUAUCUAUUUCUAGAAAUCAUGAAAUAUAUUCAUAAAUUUGCCAAUCUAAAGAAUGCUGGUUUAACAGACUGUAAGUGCUUAUUUAUUAGUUUUCACUAGAAAGUAAGGUUUCUAAGGAUUAUUAAAACGACUAGAAAUAAGUAUAUCAACCCUGUACAUGAGAAUUAGGAUGUGUUUUUGGCCAAGAGAAGUAGGGAGAUGCAUUUUUGUUAAGGGAAGUGAAAGUGAUUCUAUCUUAAAGUAAAGCUAUAGUUAUUUGAGUAGAAAGUAGGAGAAUAAAGGACAAACUAAAUGGAUACAGUAAGUUGGGAAGAGAGAGAAGGAGAAAAUUUUACGUUGUGUAGUCAAGCUGGCUAAAAUUGAAUAAAUUUAAGGGUUUUAAAAAUCAGCUUAAUAUCAACAGCGUAAUUACAUAAAACUAAAUUUUUUUUUUGCUAAAAGGACAGUUUUAUUGGGCUAUUGGUCUGCUCUGCUCCUGAUAAGAGAUAGAUUGUGAAAGGUUUUUCUUUACCUUUUUAAGUAAUCUGCCUAGAAAGCAAAGAUUUUGCAUUUUAUCAAAAUAAUUUCCUGUGCUUCAUGUUAUCUUUUAUCAUCAGGUCUUUGAUUAAAAGACUCAGUUUUAAGAUUAAGAGCUAACUUUUGCUCGCAAGUAUGUGACCUUCUGUAUUUGCCUUUGAAAUGUUUUUAACGGUCACUUUGGUUAACUGGAUAAUUAUUGUUUCAUAAUGAUUUAUGAUUCUAUUUAGUCAAGUGUCCAAAACCUUUUGAUAUUUUUGACAAACUUCCCCAAAUCAAAUUCUAAAUGAAAUCUUUUUGUCGUCAAACUAACUUUGGGAUUUUCCCCGGGGCCCCUGGAACAUCUCAAAAGAUGUGUGCUGUCUCUUUAUAAAAAGAUAUUAAACCACUUAGGCUUAUUUGAUAUGUUAAAUUAUGUGGGACACAUUGUCAAAUAAGAAUACUAAACCUUCUUGAUUCUACUUGUAUAGAUACAUGUUUCACCUUAUUCACAAAAAGGACUCUGACAAGUACUCUAGAACACAGGUUCCUGAUAACUUUAAGAUUGUAUAACUGAGCUGGGUGAGAAUUUCCAGAACUAAUGGAAAAAACUGAAUUCACGCAGAACAAAAAUUAAUAACGUGGGAUUGAAUGAAUUGAUGAAAAUGAUUAUAAUUUUUAUGACUUUUUGUUUAAACAUGUUUUGUUUCUCCAGAUUUAAGGAAAACUUUUCCGCUUAAGCUAUCUAUGAUUUACUGUAAUUUGGUGAAUUAUACCUUUGUAAGUAGAAUUGAGACAAUUUUUCUCCAUACCUGAUCCCUCCAGAAUUUAGAAACUCUUCGUGAAUAGUCUCAUUUUCAUGGUGAUAUAGUUAUUUGCACAACUUCAGUGAGAAUCUGUUCUCCUUGUAACAGGACACAAUUGGAAACAACUGACCUGGUACCUUGCUUAAAGGGUUCCAGACAGCCUUACUAGGUGAGUAAGGAAAGUCACUUCCUGGCAAGCCCAGGAACCUCAGAAUAUUUUGGGGACCUCAAGAAGAGAGGAAUUUGCCUAAAUUGGCAUAAUAACCUUAUCCUUGGUUACGGUGCUUUUCCUGAUAGCUUCCCUCCACCCCACAACAUCUUUAUUUUGUCUUUCGCCGGAAAUGGUUUUGAAGGUGGUGGCUUGGGCCAUUUGGGAGAGUUACUCAGUUUUCCUGGGUCUCUCCCACGUAUACAGGAGGUAUCCAUGUUAUGAAACUUCUGUUUCUCUCCUGUUCAUCUGUCUUUUAUAACAGUGGGUCUCAGCCAAGAACUUAGAAGGGUAGAGGGAAAAUUAUUUUUCCUUUCCUACAUCCUCCAGCUUCUUAAUGCAGGUAUAAAUAACACAAUUAUACACAGUGCUCAAUAACCUAAGAAAAGUGUUUUAUAUGAUAUUCAGUAGAAUUCACCUGAUCUUACCAUUUGAAGGAAACGACCCUUUCUAGAUGGGAGGCAGUGCUUUCACCUGGGCCUUCAGUACCAAACCACCAAGUCUCCCUGUUUCUGUGAGGUGAGAAAACAGAUGCCCAGAGCGUGGCGAGGUGACUUGCUGAUACCCUGCUAAUUUCUAGAUUCCAGUCCAGCUUUGCUGAGUCAUCACCCAGCCCCAGGCCCCCCCAUAACACCCCACUGUGGCCAGCCAGG
This is a long non-coding RNA of Physeter macrocephalus (sperm whale), 7180 nucleotides long. RefSeq lists it as uncharacterized. The transcript has 3 exons. NCBI's taxonomy places the organism in Eukaryota, Metazoa, Chordata, Mammalia, Artiodactyla, Physeteridae. The record is from RefSeq and is a predicted model, not a curated record.